GGGAUGUGGUGAAAACAGAAGACCCAUUGCAGGUGACUGCUAUUCCAGUAAUUGCCUCUUUGUGAAUUUUAUAUUGUUCAUCUUGUCUUAGUUUAGAAAUGUUGUUCCAGGCAAGCGUAAUGCUUUCUUCUGUCAGAUCUUCAAAUGAUUCUUCAUUUGGAGAAACUGGAGAUUCAGUUAUGGAAACACUGUGACUGGAUGUUCGAGAGGAGCUUUUCGGCAUUAUCCGUUGAGGAUGAGGAGUUGUGAACAACUGUUUUGGUGUCUGUCCAAACUCCAAGAUUUGCGUCAGCAGAGCUACUUUCUCAUUGGGAUCCAUAAUGCUUCAGAGAAACAAUAUGAUUAGUUAGGGCAAGUUCUUUCUUUCCACCCUGGAGGCACAGGCUGAAAGUACAGUUACUACAGUCACCACAGAACUGAUUUACUGCAGACACAACAGACAUUCA
This 446-nucleotide long non-coding RNA is filed under the name Gallus gallus (chicken). The record is from RNAcentral. Lineage: Eukaryota; Metazoa; Chordata; Aves; Galliformes; Phasianidae.